Long non-coding RNA from Dromaius novaehollandiae (emu), 316 nucleotides. RefSeq lists it as uncharacterized. The record is from RefSeq and is a predicted model, not a curated record. The transcript is spliced from 2 exons. NCBI's taxonomy places the organism in Eukaryota, Metazoa, Chordata, Aves, Casuariiformes, Dromaiidae.
GUACAUUUCUCCAACUCAAAUGGCUAAGUAGCAGCUGGAAAAACUUGUGCAUCAUAAAUUAACUAAAAAAAGGAGAAGAAUCACUAAGAACUUUUUUUCUUAUGAAGAAAGCAAACUGUAUUCACCAGAUUUAGGGUAUCCUGCCAAAAUGACAUCAUCAGUUCUGGCUUCAAAGGACUCCAUGGCUCUGAAUACUUCAGGACUGCAAACAGUAACAGGGUAGAGAAUCCCCUUGUAAGAAAAAAGCAGUUCCUCACGGUCCAUUGUGUUAGCAGCAACCAUUGCCUUAUCUACCAGAUCAAUAAAUUUCUUCCUC